Molecule: ribosomal RNA, 855 nt
Filed under: uncultured bacterium
Lineage: Bacteria
Description: bacterial SSU rRNA
Rfam family: Bacterial small subunit ribosomal RNA
Source: RNAcentral
UAACACAUGCAAGUCGAACGAGAAGUACGUAGCAAUACGUAUUGUAAAGUGGCGCACGGGUGAGUAACACGUGGGUAAUCUGCCCUUGAGUUUGGGAUAACCCCGCGAAAGCGGGGCUAAUACCGGAUAAGACCACGGAGACCAAAGUCUCUGAGGUAAAAGGUGGCCUCUAUUUAUAAGCUACCACUUGAGGAUGAGCCCGCGGCCCAUUAGCUAGUUGGCAGGGUAACGGCCUACCAAGGCAAUGAUGGGUAGCUGGUCUGAGAGGACGAUCAGCCACACUGGAACUGAGACACGGUCCAGACUCCUACGGGAGGCAGCAGUGGGGAAUAUUGCGCAAUGGGCGAAAGCCUGACGCAGCAACGCCGCGUGGGGGAUGAAGGUUCUCGGAUUGUAAGCCCCUUUCGAUCGGAACGAAUCCCCUCCUGGUAAAUAAUCAGGAGGAUCGACGGUACCGAGAGAAGAAGCCACGGCUAACUCUGUGCCAGCAGCCGCGGUAAGACAGAGGUGGCGAGCGUUGUUCGGAUUUAUUGGGCGUAAAGCGAACGCAGGUGGUUUGGUAAGUCAGGGGUGAAAGACCACAGCUUAACUGUGGCAUUGCCUUUGAUACUGCCUUUCUUGAGUAGAGUAGGGGGAAGCGGAAUUCCGAGUGUAGAGGUGAAAUUCGUAGAUAUUCGGAGGAACACCGGUGGCGAAGGCGGCUUCCUGGACUCUAACUGACACUCAUGUUCGAAAGCGUGGGGAGCAAACAGGAUUAGAUACCCUGGUAGUCCACGCCCUAAACGAUGGGCACUAGGUGUGGGAGGUAUCGACCCCUUCCGUGCCGCAGCUAACGCAUUAAGUGCCCCGCCUGGG